CGGCCGUGCUGUCGCAGAACGUGGUCCUGAAUUUGUUUAUAUAUUUGUUAGAUGUACGAGCAACAGAAGAAAAUCUACCCUCUGCUCAUUGUUGGUGGUUCAGACUCGGGUCUUCGAUGCAAAUCAAUCAAGCGCCCCCAUCUUUAGUUAUUCUGUUUGGUGGUACGUGGAUCUGCUGGUGCACUGAAUGGGGAGCUGAUGAACCCGGCGUCUCGACAGAUAUACCUCAUCUUCCCGGCGGACAGCACCUUCCACGAGGAUGACAUCUCCAACUACUUCAGCAUCUGCGGUCCUGUCCACGAUGUGCGCAUCCCCUACCAGCAGAACCACAUGUUUGGGUUCGUCACCUUCGUCUACAAGGAGAAGGGCAAGGUCCGCAGCAAGUUCAGGCAAGC
This is a long non-coding RNA of Triticum aestivum (bread wheat), 395 nucleotides long. RefSeq lists it as uncharacterized. NCBI's taxonomy places the organism in Eukaryota, Viridiplantae, Streptophyta, Magnoliopsida, Poales, Poaceae. The record is from RefSeq and is a predicted model, not a curated record. The transcript has 3 exons.